RNAcentral lists this non-coding RNA (172 nucleotides) under Coriobacteriia bacterium. Its description in RNAcentral is "6S RNA". It matches the Rfam family "6S / SsrS RNA". Rfam says of the family: E. coli 6S RNA was the first non coding RNA to be sequenced, but its function was unknown until recently. It consists of 184 nucleotides that fold into an extended hairpin structure with a large single-stranded internal bulge. The record is from RNAcentral. Lineage: Bacteria; Bacillati; Actinomycetota; Coriobacteriia.
GUGGCUCUGCCUUGCGUGGAAUCGGCUACAACGGUCGAACCAACAUUUGUACCGAGGGAGCCCUACAUCUCUCGGCGGAGUGGUAUCCCGAUAAGGGAAGCGUGACGCCGAGGUGCGGGCACCCACCUGCUGAGGCAGGUUCACCAUGCCGACCACGCGAGGCGGGGUUCAA